AUGAACGCUAGCGGCAGGCCUAACACAUGCAAGUCGAGGGGCAGCGGGAGUGCUUGCACUCGCCGACGACCGGCGCACGGGUGCGGAACGCGUAUCGAAUCUGCCUCUAUCUGGGAGAUACCCCAUGGAAACGUGGAAUAAUACCCCAUAGUAUUACUUUAUCGCAUGAUUUAGUAAUUAAAGAAUUUCGGAUAGAGAUGACGAUGCGUAUCAUUAGCUAGUAGGUAAGGUAACGGCUUACCUAGGCAACGAUGAUUAGGGGUCCUGAGAGGGAGAUCCCCCACACUGGUACUGAGACACGGACCAGACUCCUACGGGAGGCAGCAGUGAGGAAUAUUGGACAAUGGUCGAAAGACUGAUCCAGCCAUGCCGCGUGCAGGAUGACUGCCCUAUGGGUUGUAAACUGCUUUUAUACGGGAAGAAAAACACCUACGUGUAGGUGACUGACGGUACCGUAAGAAUAAGGACCGGCUAACUCCGUGCCAGCAGCCGCGGUAAUACGGAGGGUCCAAGCGUUAUCCGGAAUCAUUGGGUUUAAAGGGUCCGUAGGCGGGCUAUUAAGUCAGAGGUGAAAGUUUGCAGCUCAACUGUAAAAUUGCCUUUGAUACUGAUAGUCUUGAAUUGUAGUGAAGUGGUUAGAAUAUGUGGUGUAGCGGUGAAAUGCAUAGAUAUCACAUAGAAUACCGAUUGCGAAAGGCAGAUCACUAACUAUAUAUUGACGCUGAGGGACGAAAGCGUGGGGAGCGAACGGGAUUAGAUACCCCGGUAGUCUACGCCGUAAACGAUGGAUACUAGCCGUUGGAUUUUUUCAGUGGCUAAGCGAAAGUGAUAAGUAUCCCACCUGGGGAGUACGUUCGCAAGAAUGAAACUCAAAGGAAUUGACGGGGGCCCGCACAAGCGGUGGAGCAUGUGGUUUAAUUCGAUGAUACGCGAGGAACCUUACCAGGGCUUAAAUGGGAAAUGACAGGGGCAGAGACGCCCCCUUCUUCGGACAUUUUUCAAGGUGCUGCAUGGUUGUCGUCAGCUCGUGCCGUGAGGUGUCAGGUUAAGUCCUAUAACGAGCGCAACCCCUACCGUUAGUUGCCAGCGUGUAAUGACGGGGACUCUAACGGAACUGCCGGUGCAAACCGUGAGGAAGGUGGGGACGACGUCAAAUCAUCACGGCCCUUACGUCCUGGGCCACACACGUGCUACAAUGGUAGGUACAGAGGGAAGCCACCCCGCGAGGGGGAGCGGAUCUAUAAAACCUAUCUCAGUUCGGAUCGGAGUCUGCAACUCGACUCCGUGAAGCUGGAAUCGCUAGUAAUCGGAUAUCAGCCAUGAUCCGGUGAAUACGUUCCCGGGCCUUGCACUCACCGC
RNAcentral lists this ribosomal RNA (1359 nucleotides) under uncultured Flavobacterium sp. Its description in RNAcentral is "bacterial SSU rRNA". It matches the Rfam family "Bacterial small subunit ribosomal RNA", at positions 29 to 1393 of the family's 1533-position model. Lineage: Bacteria; Pseudomonadati; Bacteroidota; Flavobacteriia; Flavobacteriales; Flavobacteriaceae. The record is from RNAcentral.